GGGAGAGUAACGCCAGGGGACCUGCCUGAUGUUUUUUUUUAACUACUGGAAACGGUAGCUAAUACCGCAUAACGUCGCAAGACCAAAGAGGGGGACCUUCGGGCCUCUUGCCAUCAGAUGUGCCCAGAUGGGAUUAGCUAGUAGGUGGGGUAAUGGCUCACCUAGGCGACGAUCCCUAGCUGGUCUGAGAGGAUGACCAGCCACACUGGAACUGAGACACGGUCCAGACUCCUACGGGAGGCAGCAGUGGGGAAUAUUGCACAAUGGGCGCAAGCCUGAUGCAGCCAUGCCGCGUGUGUGAAGAAGGCCUUCGGGUUGUAAAGCACUUUCAGCGAGGAGGAAGGUGGUGAGCUUAAUACGCUCAUCAAUUGACGUUACUCGCAGAAGAAGCACCGGCUAACUCCGUGCCAGCAGCCGCGGUAAUACGGAGGGUGCAAGCGUUAAUCGGAAUUACUGGGCGUAAAGCGCACGCAGGCGGUUUGUUAAGUCAGAUGUGAAAUCCCCGGGCUCAACCUGGGAACUGCAUUUGAAACUGGCAAGCUAGAGUCUCGUAGAGGGGGGUAGAAUUCCAGGUGUAGCGGUGAAAUGCGUAGAGAUCUGGAGGAAUACCGGUGGCGAA
This 619-nucleotide ribosomal RNA is filed under the name Serratia nematodiphila. RNAcentral describes it as "bacterial SSU rRNA". It matches the Rfam family "Bacterial small subunit ribosomal RNA", at positions 104 to 719 of the family's 1533-position model. Lineage: Bacteria; Pseudomonadati; Pseudomonadota; Gammaproteobacteria; Enterobacterales; Yersiniaceae. The record is from RNAcentral.